This 332-nucleotide long non-coding RNA is filed under the name Cricetulus griseus (Chinese hamster). RNAcentral's name for it is "lncRNA (ENSCGRG00000025828.1)". The record is from RNAcentral. Lineage: Eukaryota; Metazoa; Chordata; Mammalia; Rodentia; Cricetidae.
AAUUUUAGCAAUUUAGAUUUUUUUUUUUAAAUUCUAGAAUCAGGCAACUCAUCAUUCCAUAAAGCAGAAGGAAUGUUCGGGUAGGCUGAGCAGGGAGGGCAGCUUCGUGACAGAGAAGAGCUGAAGAAAGCAGAAACAAAGAACAGAAGGUGCUGAAUAUAAUAACAUUCCCAGAGCCCCUGAUCCUGGGAGAGCAGUGUUGGCAGCGUUGUAAGGAAGAGACCAGCAAGGCAGGAGGACAUAGUUCCAAGUACUGGGGAUUUGCUUGCUUUCCAUGGACUCCUAUCUUGCGACAUCUUUCGUAUGACAGAGACAUGGAUUUGUUUCUUUGA